AUAUGUAGCUCAGUUGGUUAGAGCAUCGCACUCAUAAUGCGGGGGUCACAGGUUCGAAUCCCGUCAUAGCCACCA
RNAcentral lists this transfer RNA (75 nucleotides) under Aeromonas veronii. RNAcentral describes it as "tRNA-Met". It matches the Rfam family "tRNA". Rfam says of the family: Transfer RNA (tRNA) molecules are approximately 80 nucleotides in length. The record is from RNAcentral. Lineage: Bacteria; Pseudomonadati; Pseudomonadota; Gammaproteobacteria; Aeromonadales; Aeromonadaceae.